This 343-nucleotide ribosomal RNA is filed under the name Schroederia setigera. RNAcentral describes it as "SSU rRNA". It matches the Rfam family "Eukaryotic small subunit ribosomal RNA", at positions 576 to 926 of the family's 1831-position model. The record is from RNAcentral. Lineage: Eukaryota; Viridiplantae; Chlorophyta; Chlorophyceae; Sphaeropleales; Schroederiaceae.
GCGGUAAUUCCAGCUCCAAUAGCGUAUAUUUAAGUUGUUGCAGUUAAAAAGCUCGUAGUUGGAUUUCGGGUGGGUUCUAGCGGUCCGCCUACGGUGAGUACUGCUAUGGCCUUCCUUUCUGCCGGGGACGGGCUCCUGGGCUUCACUGUCCGGGACUCGGAGUCGGCGAGGUUACUUUGAGUAAAUUAGAGUGUUCAAAGCAGGCAUACGCUCUGAAUACUUUAGCAUGGAAUAACAUGAUAGGACUCUGGCCUAUCUUGUUGGUCUGUAGGACCGGAGUAAUGAUUAAGAGGGACAGUCGGGGGCAUUCGUAUUUCAUUGUCAGAGGUGAAAUUCUCGGAUU